Molecule: ribosomal RNA, 253 nt
Filed under: uncultured bacterium
Lineage: Bacteria
Description: partial 16S ribosomal RNA
Rfam family: Bacterial small subunit ribosomal RNA
Source: RNAcentral
UACGUAGGGAGCAAGCGUUGUCCGGAUUUACUGGGCGUAAAGAGCGCGCAGGCGGUCGAUUAAGUCGAGUGUGAAAGCCCCCGGCUCAACUGGGGAGGGUCACUUGAUACUGGUCGACUCGAAGGCAGGAGAGGGAAGUGGAAUUCCCGGUGUAGUGGUGAAAUGCGUAGAUAUCGGGAGGAACACCAGUGGCGAAGGCGACUUCCUGGCCUGUUCUUGACGCUGAGGCGCGAAAGCUAGGGGAGCAAACGGG